Molecule: non-coding RNA, 31 nt
Filed under: Mus musculus (house mouse)
Lineage: Eukaryota; Metazoa; Chordata; Mammalia; Rodentia; Muridae
Source: RNAcentral
UGUCUCUCCCUGCCACAAAUUCCAUGAUCGA